UACGUAGGGGGCAAGCGUUGUCCGGAUUUAUUGGGCGUAAAGAGCGUGUAGGCGGUUCGGUAGGUCCGUUGUGAAAACUCGAGGCUCAACCUCGAGACGCCGAUGGAAACCAUCGAACUAGAGUCCGGAAGAGGAGAGUGGAAUUCCGUGGUGUAGCGGUGAAAUGCGCAGAUAUCAGGAAGAACACCCGUGGCGAAGGCGGCUCUCUGGGACGGUACUGACGCUGAGACGCGAAAGCGUGGGGGAGCGAACAGG
This 255-nucleotide ribosomal RNA is filed under the name uncultured bacterium. RNAcentral's name for it is "partial 16S ribosomal RNA". It matches the Rfam family "Bacterial small subunit ribosomal RNA", at positions 524 to 776 of the family's 1533-position model. The record is from RNAcentral.